CGGGGGCACGGGGGGCCUACGGGAGGCAGCAGUGGGGAAUNUUGGACAAUGGGCGAAAGCCUGAUCCAGCGACGCCGCGUGAAGGAAGAAGUCCUUCGGGAUGUAAACUUCUGAACUAAUCGAAUAANAGGGUAGUGGACACACUACAGAAGAAGGUAGAUUAGGAAAAGUCCCGGCUAACUACGUGCCAGCAGCCGCGGUAAGACGUAGGGGGCGAGCGUUGCCCGGAAUCACUGGGUGUAAAGGGGACGUAGGCGGAUGAUCAAGUCAUCUGUGAAAAGAUUGCUCAACGAUUGGCUUGCGGAUGAAACUGGUCAUCUUGGGCGUAGCAGAGGUAGACGGAAUUACCUGAGUAGGGGUGAAAUCCGCAGAUACAGGUAAGAANGCCGGUGAAGAAGUUGGUCUACUGGGCUACAGCUGACGCUGAGGUCCGAAAGCCAGGGGAGCGAACCGGAUUAGAUACCCGGGUAGUCCUGGCUGUAAACGAUGCUCACUAGGUGUAGGGAGCGAAAGACUCUCUGUGCUGAAGCGAACGCGCUAAGUGAGCCACCUGGGGAGUACGUCCGCAAGGAUGAA
This 576-nucleotide ribosomal RNA is filed under the name Petrotoga sp. OKU6. Its description in RNAcentral is "bacterial SSU rRNA". It matches the Rfam family "Bacterial small subunit ribosomal RNA", at positions 319 to 898 of the family's 1533-position model. Lineage: Bacteria; Thermotogati; Thermotogota; Thermotogae; Petrotogales; Petrotogaceae. The record is from RNAcentral.